GACGAACGCUGGCGGCGUGCUUAACACAUGCAAGUCGAGCGGUAAGGCCCUUUCGGGGGUACACGAGCGGCGAACGGGUGAGUAACACGUGGGUGACCUGCCCUCAGCUCUGGGAUAAGCCUGGGAAACCGGGUCUAAUACCGGAUAUGACUCCAUGACGCAUGUUGUGGGGUGGAAAGCCUUGUGCGGCUGAGGAUGGGCCCGCGGCCUAUCAGCUUGGUUGGUGGGGU
RNAcentral lists this ribosomal RNA (230 nucleotides) under uncultured bacterium. RNAcentral describes it as "partial 16S ribosomal RNA". It matches the Rfam family "Bacterial small subunit ribosomal RNA", at positions 28 to 258 of the family's 1533-position model. The record is from RNAcentral.